CGGGGUGCGCCCAAGCGGUAAGGCAACCUAUUUUUACCUCGUCAUACGGAGGUUCGAGUCCUUACGUCCCAU
RNAcentral lists this transfer RNA (72 nucleotides) under Selaginella tamariscina. RNAcentral describes it as "tRNA-Gln". The record is from RNAcentral. Lineage: Eukaryota; Viridiplantae; Streptophyta; Lycopodiopsida; Selaginellales; Selaginellaceae.